AUAUCAAUAAGCGGAGGAAAAGAAACUAACAAGGAUUCCCCUAGUAACUGCGAGUGAAGCGGGAAGAGCUCAAAUUUGUAAUCUGGCGGUCUCAGGCCGUCCGAGUUGUAGUCUGGAGAAGCGUUUUCCGCGUCGGACCGUGUACAAGUCCCUUGGAACAGGGCGUCAUAGAGGGUGAGAAUCCCGUCUUCGACACGGACUACCGAUGCUUUGUGAUGCGCUCUCGAGGAGUCGAGUUGUUUGGGAAUGCAGCUCAAAACGGGUGGUAAAUUCCAUCUAAAGCUAAAUAUUGGCGAAAGACCGAUAGCGAACAAGUACCGUGAGGGAAAGAUGAAAAGCACUUUGGAAAGAGAGUCAAAAAGCACGUGAAAUUGUUGAAAGGGAAGCGCUUGCAGCCAGACGUGCCCGCAGUUGCUCAUCCGGGGUUCUCCCCGGUGCACUCUUCUGUGGGCAGGCCAGCAUCAGUUCGGGCGGUUGGAGAAAGACCUGUGUCAUGUAGCUGUUCUCGGGCAGUGUUAUAGGGCAGGUGGAAUGCAACCAGCCGGAACUGAGGUCCGCGCAUCUGCUAGGAUGCUGGCGUAAUGGCUGUAAGCGG
Molecule: ribosomal RNA, 595 nt
Filed under: uncultured fungus
Lineage: Eukaryota; Fungi
Description: eukaryotic LSU rRNA
Rfam family: Eukaryotic large subunit ribosomal RNA
Source: RNAcentral